This is a long non-coding RNA of Helianthus annuus (common sunflower), 356 nucleotides long. RefSeq lists it as uncharacterized. The record is from RefSeq and is a predicted model, not a curated record. NCBI's taxonomy places the organism in Eukaryota, Viridiplantae, Streptophyta, Magnoliopsida, Asterales, Asteraceae. The transcript has 3 exons.
CUUCAAGAUCCGACACUCUCUCAGUAGAUCCCGACACCAGAUCUACUGGUUUGACUGUAGGAUCUUCCGUUUGGUUGUGGGUUCGUCAACGAUGGUGCUUGUGGGUGGAAGAUCUGGCCAGAUCUAUGGGUUUCGAACAGUGCGAGGUUAUGGCGUCGGCAGAUGCUGAGCUGGAGCGACUGCUUAAGGAGACAGGGAAACAGUUAUCGCUUCCUCAUGAAUAUGUUGAUGAACUUCUUCAUGUUCUUGAUGUAAGCUCUUACUGUUUUGAGUUUUGAUUAUGUUAAAAAAAGUUUGGUUUUUUAUUCAUAAUUGUUGGUACAGGUUUUUUUAUCUCUAUGGUGUUGGUUUGAGAC